CCUACGGGUGGCAGCAGUCGAGAAUCAUUCACAAUGGGGGAAACCCUGAUGGUGCGACGCCGCGUGGGGGAAUGAAGGUCUUCGGAUUGUAAACCCCUGUCAUGUGGGAGCAAAUUAAAAAGAUAGUACCACAAGAGGAAGAGACGGCUAACUCUGUGCCAGCAGCCGCGGUAAUACAGAGGUCUCAAGCGUUGUUCGGAAUCACUGGGCGUAAGGCGUGCGUAGGCUGUUUCGUAAGUCGUGUGUGAAUGGCGCGGGCUCACCCCGCGGACGGCACAUGAUACUGCGAGACUAGAGUAAUGGAGGGGGAACCGGAAUUCUCGGUGUAGCAGUGAAAUGCGUAGAUAUCGAGAGGAACACUCGGGGCGAAGGCGGGUUCCUGGACAUUAACUGACGCUGAGGCACGAAGGCCAGGGGAGCGAAAGGGAUUAGAUACCCGGGUAGUC
This 446-nucleotide ribosomal RNA is filed under the name uncultured bacterium. RNAcentral's name for it is "partial 16S ribosomal RNA". It matches the Rfam family "Bacterial small subunit ribosomal RNA", at positions 338 to 795 of the family's 1533-position model. The record is from RNAcentral.